This 497-nucleotide ribosomal RNA is filed under the name uncultured bacterium. Its description in RNAcentral is "partial 16S ribosomal RNA". It matches the Rfam family "Bacterial small subunit ribosomal RNA", at positions 28 to 507 of the family's 1533-position model. The record is from RNAcentral.
GAUGAACGCUGGCGGCGUGCCUAAUACAUGCAAGUCGAGCGAACAGACGAGGAGCUUGCUCCUCUGACGUUAGCGGCGGACGGGUGAGUAACACGUGGAUAACCUACCUAUAAGACUGGGAUAACUUCGGGAAACCGGAGCUAAUACCGGAUAAUAUAUUGAACCGCAUGGUUCAAUAGUGAAAGACGGUUUUGCUGUCACUUAUAGAUGGAUCCGCGCCGCAUUAGCUAGUUGGUAAGGUAACGGCUUACCAAGGCAACGAUGCGUAGCCGACCUGAGGGGGUGAUCGGCCACACUGGAACUGAGACACGGUCCAGACUCCUACGGGAGGCAGCAGUAGGGAAUCUUCCGCAAUGGGCGAAAGCCUGACGGAGCAACGCCGCGUGAGUGAUGAAGGUCUUCGGGUCGUAAAACUCUGUUAUUAGGGAAGAACAAAUGUGUAAGUAACUAUGCACGUCUUGACGGUACCUAAUCAGAAAGCCACGGCUAACUACGUG